AAAGACCCCGUGAACCUUUACUAUAGCUUGACACUGAACAUUGAGCCUUGAUGUGUAGGAUAGGUGGGAGGCUUUGAAGUGUGGACGCCAGUCUGCAUGGAGCCGGCCUUGAAAUACCACCCUUUAAUGUUUGAUGUUCUAACGUUGACCCGUGAUCCGGGUUGCGGACAGUGUCUGGUGGGUAGUUUGACUGGGGCGGUCUCCUCCUAAAGAGUAACGGAGGAGCACGAAGGUUGGCUAAUCCUGGUCGGACAUCAGGAGGUUAGUGCAAUGGCAUAAGCCAGCUUGACUGCGAGCGUGACGGCGCGAGCAGGUGCGAAAGCAGGUCAUAGUGAUCCGGUGGUUCUGAAUGGAAGGGCCAUCGCUCAACGGAUAAAAGGUACUCCGGGGAUAACAGGCUGAUACCGCCCAAGAGUUCAUAUCGACGGCGGUGUUUGGCACCUCGAUGUCGGCUCAUCACAUCCUGGGGCUGAAGUAGGUCCCAAGGGUAUGGCUGUUCGCCAUUUAAAGUGGUACGCGAGCUGGGUUUAGAACGUCGUGAGACAGUUCGGUCCCUAUCUGCCGUGGGCGCUGGAGAACUGAGGGGGGCUGCUCCUAGUACGAGAGGACCGGAGUGGACGCAUCACUGGUGUUCGGGUUGUCAUGCCAAUGGCACUGCCCGGUAGCUAAAUGCGGAAGAGAUAAGUGCUGAAAGCAUCUAAGCACGAAACUUGCCCCGAGA
RNAcentral lists this ribosomal RNA (721 nucleotides) under Escherichia coli. RNAcentral describes it as "partial 23S ribosomal RNA". It matches the Rfam family "Bacterial large subunit ribosomal RNA", at positions 2084 to 2804 of the family's 2925-position model. Lineage: Bacteria; Pseudomonadati; Pseudomonadota; Gammaproteobacteria; Enterobacterales; Enterobacteriaceae. The record is from RNAcentral.